AGUGAACGCUGGCGGUAGGCCUAACACAUGCAAGUCGAACGGCAGCACAGUAAGAGCUUGCUCUUACGGGUGGCGAGUGGCGGACGGGUGAGGAAUACAUCGGAAUCUACUUUUUCGUGGGGGAUAACGUAGGGAAACUUACGCUAAUACCGCAUACGACCUACGGGUGAAAGCAGGGGAUCUUCGGACCUUGCGCGAUUGAAUGAGCCGAUGUCGGAUUAGCUAGUUGGCGGGGUAAAGGCCCACCAAGGCGACGAUCCGUAGCUGGUCUGAGAGGAUGAUCAGCCACACUGGAACUGAGACACGGUCCAGACUCCUACGGGAGACAGCAGUGGGGAAUAUUGGACAAUGGGCGCAAGCCUGAUCCAGCCAUACCGCGUGGGUGAAGAAGGCCUUCGGGUCGUAAAGCCCUUUUGUUGGGAAAGAAAAGCAGCAGGUUAAUACCCCGCUGUUCUGACGGUACCCAAAGAAUAAGCACCGGCUAACUUCGUG
RNAcentral lists this ribosomal RNA (492 nucleotides) under uncultured bacterium. RNAcentral describes it as "partial 16S ribosomal RNA". It matches the Rfam family "Bacterial small subunit ribosomal RNA", at positions 29 to 507 of the family's 1533-position model. The record is from RNAcentral.